AUUGAACGCUGGCGGCAGGCCUAACACAUGCAAGUCGAACGCGUGGCGGACGGGUGAGUAAUGGCUGGGAAACUGACCGAGGGAGGGGGAUAACGACUGGAAACGGUAGCUAAUACCGCAUACCAUCGGUGAUGCCCAGAUGGGUUUAGCGAGUAGGUGGGGUAACGGCUCACCUAGGCGACGAUCCCUAGAUGGUCUGAGAGGAUGACCCGCCACACUGGAACUGAGACACGGUCCAGACUCCUACGGGAGGCAGCAGUGGGCAAUAUUGCACAAUGGGCGCAAGCCUGAUGCAGCCAUGCCGCGUGUAUGAAGAAGGCUGUCGGGUUGUAAAGUACUUUCAGCGAGGAGGCGUUGCUCGCAGAAGGAGCAUCGGCUAACUCCGAGCCAGCAGCCGCGGUAAUUC
Molecule: ribosomal RNA, 406 nt
Filed under: uncultured bacterium
Lineage: Bacteria
Description: partial 16S ribosomal RNA
Rfam family: Bacterial small subunit ribosomal RNA
Source: RNAcentral